AUACUUACCUGGCAGGGGAGAUACCAUGAUCAUGAAGGUGGUUUUCCCAGGGCGAGGCUUAUCCAUUGCACUCCGGAUGUGCUGACCCCUGCGAUUUCCCCAAAUGCGGGAAACUCGACUGCAUAAUUUGUGGUAGUGGGCGACUGCGUUCGCGCUCUCCCCUG
Molecule: small nuclear RNA, 164 nt
Filed under: Cricetulus griseus (Chinese hamster)
Lineage: Eukaryota; Metazoa; Chordata; Mammalia; Rodentia; Cricetidae
Description: U1 spliceosomal RNA (ENSCGRG00015040315.1)
Rfam family: U1 spliceosomal RNA
About the family: U1 is a small nuclear RNA (snRNA) component of the spliceosome (involved in pre-mRNA splicing). Its 5' end forms complementary base pairs with the 5' splice junction, thus defining the 5' donor site of an intron.
Source: RNAcentral